CGGGCGGCCACCAGCAUUCUCAUUCACAAAGGAAGAAGGAAACUCUGCAGAUCACAACCAGGAUGCUGAAGAUUUCCCUCCAAACACUGCUCUCACUACAUCUUAUAAAUUUUGAUUUCUUGUGAUGAACAUGAAUUACUUCACAGUAAUCAGGCAAACAAAUUAAAAAUGGAUCCGUGGGGACGGACGGGCACAGCUGGGCGGGUUCCUGGGGGAGGUGCUCCCAGGUGUCCUUGCCACACUCAGCACCAUGCGGGCAGUAGGUCUGCAGGAGCUGUUUGGUUGAAUUGAAGGUGACAGGCUUGCGAGGGUGACCUGAGCUGCAGUCCGCCAAACAUUUAGCGUGAGUAUAAGGAGUCGAUGAGUUCCUUUGGCUUUACAUUACACUAGUAGACUGACGCCAGCCUAUUAGGAUAUUGGGGAGAAAUCCUUAGGAUUUGGAAUCCUUCAUCUUCAAGAUGAAUCUCCCAAUAUCUGCCAACAGCCUCUUCACUGUGUCCAUUAAAUGGCCUACUUGUGUAUUGGCUGCUGCGGAGCCAGAGUUUUUAUUUGAUGUUAAAGGAAUCUUAAUUAAAGUCCUGCUGGCUGUAUUUUGCUAA
This is a non-coding RNA of Oryctolagus cuniculus (rabbit), 599 nucleotides long. Lineage: Eukaryota; Metazoa; Chordata; Mammalia; Lagomorpha; Leporidae. The record is from RefSeq and is a predicted model, not a curated record.